AAGAGUGCCAGAUGUUAUGGGUUGGAUUUAGGUUCCUUUUAGGGUUUGUAACCCUCUU
This 58-nucleotide transfer RNA is filed under the name Plagiorchis multiglandularis. Its description in RNAcentral is "tRNA-Leu". Lineage: Eukaryota; Metazoa; Platyhelminthes; Trematoda; Plagiorchiida; Plagiorchiidae. The record is from RNAcentral.